Molecule: ribosomal RNA, 253 nt
Filed under: uncultured bacterium
Lineage: Bacteria
Description: partial 16S ribosomal RNA
Rfam family: Bacterial small subunit ribosomal RNA
Source: RNAcentral
UACGUAGGGUGCAAGCGUUACUCGGAAUUACUGGGCGUAAAGCGUGCGCAGGCGGUAAUGCAAGACAGAUGUGAAAUCCCCGGGCUCAACCUGGGAACUGCAUUUGUGACUGCAUUGCUGGAGUGCGGCAGAGGGGGAUGGAAUUCCGCGUGUAGCAGUGAAAUGCGUAGAUAUGCGGAGGAACACCGAUGGCGAAGGCAAUCCCCUGGGCCUGUACUGACGCUCAUGCACGAAAGCGUGGGGAGCAAACAGG